GGCGGUGUAGCUCAGCUGGUUAGAGCGUUCGGUUCAUACCCGAAAGGUCGGGGGUUCGAUUCCCUCCGCCGCUACCU
This 77-nucleotide transfer RNA is filed under the name Brevibacillus parabrevis. RNAcentral describes it as "tRNA-Met". It matches the Rfam family "tRNA". From Rfam's summary of the family: Transfer RNA (tRNA) molecules are approximately 80 nucleotides in length. Their secondary structure includes four short double-helical elements and three loops (D, anti-codon, and T loops). RNAcentral also lists the same sequence under 1 other name. Lineage: Bacteria; Bacillati; Bacillota; Bacilli; Caryophanales; Paenibacillaceae. The record is from RNAcentral.